This 247-nucleotide unclassified non-coding RNA is filed under the name Cucumis maderaspatanus. RNAcentral describes it as "sequence contains ITS1". Lineage: Eukaryota; Viridiplantae; Streptophyta; Magnoliopsida; Cucurbitales; Cucurbitaceae. The record is from RNAcentral.
UUCGUAGGUGACCUGCGGAGGAUCAUUGUCGAUGCCUAAACGUCAAACGACCCGCGAACGCGUUCACGAACAAACCGUCCGGGGCGGGGUCGGGGGAAGCGGGCGUGCUCUCUGCCUGCCCGCCUCCUCCUCCCCCCCUCCCGGCGCGUCUUAAACAAAACCCCGGCGCAGGUCGCGCCAAGGAACUUCAAAUGGAUUCGCCCGCCCCCUGCCCCGGCCUCGGCGCGCGGGGGGCGGAGCAUUCUAG